Molecule: ribosomal RNA, 94 nt
Filed under: Dolosicoccus paucivorans
Lineage: Bacteria; Bacillati; Bacillota; Bacilli; Lactobacillales; Aerococcaceae
Source: RNAcentral
ACCCACCUGUUCCCAUGCCGAACACAGUCGUUAAGCUUCUUAGCGCCGAUGGUAAUGAAGACGUUGUCUUUGUGAGAGUAGGUCGUUGCCACGC